Molecule: ribosomal RNA, 507 nt
Filed under: uncultured bacterium
Lineage: Bacteria
Description: bacterial SSU rRNA
Rfam family: Bacterial small subunit ribosomal RNA
Source: RNAcentral
AGAGUUUGAUCCUGGCUCAGAUUGAACGCUGGCGGCAUGCCUUACACAUGCAAGUCGAACGGCAGCACGGGAGCUUGCUCCUGGUGGCGAGUGGCGAACGGGUGAGUAAUACAUCGGAACGUACCCUGAAGUGGGGGAUAACGUAGCGAAAGUUACGCUAAUACCGCAUAUUCUGUGAGCAGGAAAGAGGGGGGAUCGCAAGACCUCUUGCUUUAGGAGCGGCCGAUGUCGGAUUAGCUAGUUGGUGAGGUAAAGGCUCACCAAGGCGACGAUCCGUAGCGGGUCUGAGAGGAUGAUCCGCCACACUGGGACUGAGACACGGCCCAGACUCCUACGGGAGGCAGCAGUGGGGAAUUUUGGACAAUGGGCGCAAGCCUGAUCCAGCCAUGCCGCGUGAGUGAAGAAGGCCUUCGGGUUGUAAAGCUCUUUCGGUGGGGAAGAAAUUGCUUCGGUUAAUACCUGGAGUAGAUGACGGUACCCGCAUAAGAAGCACCGGCUAACUACGUG